RNAcentral lists this transfer RNA (74 nucleotides) under Ixodes scapularis (black-legged tick). It matches the Rfam family "tRNA". From Rfam's summary of the family: Transfer RNA (tRNA) molecules are approximately 80 nucleotides in length. Their secondary structure includes four short double-helical elements and three loops (D, anti-codon, and T loops). Further hydrogen bonds mediate the characteristic L-shaped molecular structure. tRNAs have two regions of fundamental functional importance: the anti-codon, which is responsible for specific mRNA codon recognition, and the 3' end, to which the tRNAs corresponding amino acid is attached (by aminoacyl-tRNA synthetases). tRNAs cope with the degeneracy of the genetic code in two manners: having more than one tRNA (with a specific anti-codon) for a particular amino acid; and 'wobble' base-pairing, i.e. permitting non-standard base-pairing at the 3rd anti-codon position. Lineage: Eukaryota; Metazoa; Arthropoda; Arachnida; Ixodida; Ixodidae. The record is from Rfam by way of RNAcentral.
GCCGGAAUGGUCUAAUCGGUGAAGGCGUCACGCCGGACAGGCGAAGCUUGCGAGUUCAAUCCCCGCUCCUGGCG